ACGCACGCUGGCGGCGUGCUUCACACCUGCAAGUCGAACGGAAAGGCCUGCUUUCCCUUGUGGAUUGCGGGUACUCGAGUGGCGAACGGGUGAGUAACACGUGAGUGAUCUGCCCCCAACUUGGGUAUAAGCCUGGGAAACUGGGUCUAAUUCCCGAUAGGACUGCAGGGUGGUGCCUGUGGUGGAAAACGAUUUUCUAGUGGUUGGGGAUGAGCUCGCGGCCUAUCAGCUUGUUGGUGGGGUAAUGGCCUACCAAGGCGGCGACGGGUAGCCGGCCUGAGAGGGUGGACGGCCACAUUGGGACUGAGAUACGGCCCAGACUCCUACGGGAGGCAGCAGUGGGGAAUAGUGCACAAUGGGCGGAAGCCUGAUGCAGCGACGCCGCGUGGGGGAUGACGGCCUUCGGGUUGUAAACUCCUUUCGACCGCGAGGAAGCCACCUGGUUGGAAGGGUGGUGACGGUAGUGGUAGAAGAAGCACCGGCUAACUACGUG
RNAcentral lists this ribosomal RNA (493 nucleotides) under uncultured bacterium. RNAcentral describes it as "partial 16S ribosomal RNA". It matches the Rfam family "Bacterial small subunit ribosomal RNA", at positions 29 to 507 of the family's 1533-position model. The record is from RNAcentral.